Molecule: ribosomal RNA, 388 nt
Filed under: uncultured bacterium
Lineage: Bacteria
Description: bacterial SSU rRNA
Rfam family: Bacterial small subunit ribosomal RNA
Source: RNAcentral
AAUGGAGGAAACUCUGAUGCAGCGACGCCGCGUGAGUGAAGAAGUAUUUCGGUAUGUAAAGCUCUAUCAGCAGGGAAGAAAGAAAUGACGGUACCUGACUAAGAAGCCCCGGCUAACUACGUGCCAGCAGCCGCGGUAAUACGUAGGGGGCAAGCGUUAUCCGGAUUUACUGGGUGUAAAGGGAGCGUAGACGGCGAUGCAAGUCAGAUGUGAAAACCCAUGGCUCAACCAUGGGAUUGCAUUUGAAACUGUGUUGCUAGAGUGCAGGAGAGGUAAGCGGAAUUCCUGGUGUAGCGGUGAAAUGCGUAGAUAUCAGGAGGAACACCGGUGGCGAAGGCGGCUUACUAGACUGUAACUGACGUUGAGGCUCGAAGGCGUGGGUAGCAAA